CAUCAAACAAUAACAUCAUUACAUUACCCUUGUUUCUCCGCUGAGAAGCUCUUCUUCUCUCUCUACCCCUCUCUUACAGUUCUCUCUCUCUAUCUCUUCUCUCGAUCUUUACGGCUUCAAUAUCUCUACCUUUUGAUCUUCAAAAGCCUGGGUUUUUGUUGACUUGCUUUCACCAUUUCGCUACAAACCCUCCCCUCUCGAUUCACUUUAGGGCUUACAGAUCUGUUUUUCGUUCAAUAUGUUUUGGAAGCUCACGCAUCUGUCCUGUUCGCCGGUUGAAGAAGUGUUAGACAAGGAAAACUUCACAUUGGAAGAGCUUCUUGAUGAAGAAGAGAUAAUCCAAGAAUGCAAAGCUUUGAAUAGCCGCUUGAUAAAUUUUUUGAGAGAUAGAGCUCAGGUUGAGCAGUUGCUGCGAUACAUUGUUGAAGUGCCUUCUGAGGAUGCCGAUAGCAAAUGGAAGUUUAAGUUUCCUUUCAUCGCCUGUGAGAUAUUCACUUGUGAAAUUGAUGUCAUCCUUAAGACCUUAGUGGACGAUGAAGAGCUAAUGGAUUUGCUCUUUUCGUUCUUGGAGACCGAUCGUCCUCAUUGUGCGUUGCUUGCUGGGUAUUUUAGUAAGGUUGUGGUGUGCCUCAUGUUGCGGAAGACUAUUCCACUUAUGAAUUAUGUCCAGACCCAUCAUGAUGUUUUCCGCCAGAUGGUGGAUUUGAUUGGUAUUACAUCCAUAAUGGAGGUUUUGGUGCGACUUGUAGGCGCUGAUAUUUACCCGAACACUAAGGAUGUCAUGCAAUGGCUGGCUGACAGCAAUUUAUUAGAAAUGAUUGUGGAUAAAUUGAGCCCCUCUAGUUCUCCAGAAGUACAUGCUAAUGCAGCAGAGACUCUAUGUACAAUAACCCUAAACGCACCAUCUCCUCUUGCUACUAAGCUAUCCAGCCCAAGUUUUGUAGCAAGGAUAUUCAGUCAUGCCCUUGAAGACUCACACUCAAAGUCCGCCCUUGUCCAUUCAUUAUCUGUAUGCAUAUCUUUGCUGGAUCCUAAAAGAUCAAUUCCAUCUCCCAUGAUGUAUUCUUACCGCUGCCAGCAUGUUUAUGAGUCAUCUGUGUGUGUCAAUCCUGAGACUAUAAGUGCAAUGCUGCCCAAUUUCGGCAACUUGCUAAAGCUGUUGAAUGUAUCAUCUGAUGACAAGAUUCUGCCUACAACAUAUGGUGAACUCAGGCCGCCUCUAGGGAAACAUCGACUGAAGAUUGUGGAAUUCAUUUCUGUGCUGCUAAAAACUGGCAAUGAAGUUGCAGAGGAUGAAUUGAUCAGCUCUGGGACAAUUGAGAGAGUCCUGGAUCUCUUUUUUGAGUACGCAUUUAACAAUGCAUUGCAUCAUCACGUAGAGAGUAUAAUAAACUCAUGCUUGGAAAGCAGAAACAGUGUCCUGGUCGAUCAUCUUUUUGAAGACUGUAAUUUGGUUGGAAAAAUUCUUCAAACGGAUAAACAGCCCACAGUUUCUGGCAGUGAAAGUCAGCCCACUUUUCCUGCUACUGGUAAACAAGCACCCCGACUUGGUAACAUAGGGCAUCUAACACGGAUUGCUAACAAACUUGUACAGUUGGGAAGCGAUGACAAUCGCAUUCGAGGACAUCUAGAGAAAAAUAUGGAAUGGAGUGAUUGGCACACUACUGUCUUACAGGAGCGUAAUACACUUGAAAAUGUCUAUCGAUGGGCUUGUGGCCGGCCAACUGCAUUACUAGAUAGGACAAGAGACAGCGACGAGGAAGAUGUUCAUAACAGAGAUUAUGAUGUAGCAGCUUUAGCAAAUAAUCUGAGCCAGGCAUUCCAGUACACCAUAUAUGAUAAUAAUGGCGCUGAAGAGGGUCAUGGAGCUCUUGAUCGAGAUGAUGAGGAUGUAUACUUUGAUGAUGAGUCUGCUGAAGUUGUCCUGAGGUUGGGAGAUGAGCAAGGGAGCAAUUUGUUCACAAAUUCGGAUUGGUUUGCUUUUCGAGAUGAUAGAACUGGAGAUGAUUCCAAGAGUACCUCACCUACUGAAGUGAUGGAAGACAUUAACCUUAAUGGAACAACAAAUGGUGGUAAUAGCAAUAGUGAUGAUGAGGUAGUAGUUGGAGAGCAGGAGGAAUUGACUGAGAGAAAAUCAGAUGUAAUGCCCAGUUCUAGUUCAGAUGCUUUUAAUGGAGUUGGUGGAGUCGAUUCUGCUAAUGGUGGAGACUUCAAUCAACAAAAAGAUAAAGCAGAUGAGUCGGGUGAUGGGGGUUUCUUCCAUUUUGAGAAGUCAGACAGUGAUGACCCGUUUGGAGACAGGCCUAUACCUGAAUGGGUUGCAUGGGGAAAUGGCUCAGUUGGUGGAUCCGUGAAUCCCUUUGAAGAUAAUGGUGACUGUAGUGGAAAUCUUGCAAAUUCAGGGGAGGCAGUAACUCCCUCGAUUAGUUCCACUUCUUGCAGUGGUGGAGAGUCUAUUCCAAAUGGCGUAUCUACAUCUCCUGAUUCUAGUAAAAGUUCAUUGGGAUCUGAUUCUAGUAAAAAAGCAGCAUCCCCUGUGCCUUCUUUGUUUGAAGAGGAUGUUGAAUUUGUUGGUGUAGAAUUAGAGGGUACUGAAAAGGCAAUGGAACAUGCUCUUAAGGAGGGGAUUGUUGGGGAAGCGGCUCCAUUGAAAAGGAGCUUAGUUCCUAAGAUGCCAGAAAAGGAUAAUACAGAUGAGGGAGGGUCAGGAGUGAAAGAAUUCAAUGAGUCUAACUUUUGGAGAGUUGACCAAGAAGUCAUAGUACAGGAAUAACUGGGGAAUUCAGUUGACCUUUAUCUGAAUUUAGAAACACAGCUGAUACGCAGGGUGCUCAUUUUCAGUUUGGUGAGACUAUACAGGUGUACAGUGUACUUUGUGUUUCAAUUGGGAUCGACACAAGGAUAACAAAUAUUGGUUGUUACUGAUUUUUUAUUGUUCCACUCUGUCCAGUUAAAGGCACAUUUGUGGGAUGCUGAUUGAAACAACCAUCGUCCUGCUUGUCUGUCUCAUGCUAUGAUUGGAAUUUGGAUGAAAUUGUUCUAUCUUCGGCGUGGGGGUUUCGAUUGAAUAGAGUCAAGGUAAUUAUAUAUAAAACCUGCCAGAAUAGUUCAUAGUUCUAGCAAUUGGGUUAAAUGUAGUAGGAUGACGAGGUCUAAAUGAUACACUUUUGGAAAUGUAAAAUUUAUUUUCAAGAAGU
Molecule: RNA transcript, 3197 nt
Organism: Solanum stenotomum
Lineage: Eukaryota; Viridiplantae; Streptophyta; Magnoliopsida; Solanales; Solanaceae
Exons: 20
Source: RefSeq, a predicted model, not a curated record